Molecule: ribosomal RNA, 468 nt
Filed under: uncultured bacterium
Lineage: Bacteria
Description: partial 16S ribosomal RNA
Rfam family: Bacterial small subunit ribosomal RNA
Source: RNAcentral
GACGAACGCUGGCGGCGUGCUUAACACAUGCAAGUCGAACGGAAAGGCCCUGCUUUUGUGGGGUGCUCGAGUGGCGAACGGGUGAGUAACACGUGAGUAACCUGCCCUUGACUUUGGGAUAACUUCAGGUAACUGUGGCUCAUACCGGAUCUGAGCUCCUGCUCCAUGGUGGGGGUUGGAAAGUUUCGGCGGUUGGGGAUGGACUCGCGGCUUAUCAGCUUGUUGGUGGGGUAGUGGCUUACCAAGGCUUUGACGGGUAGCCGGCCUGAGUGGGUGACCGGCGACAUUGGGACUGAGGUACGGCCCAGACGCCAACGGGAGGCAGCAGGGGGGAAUAUUGCACAAUGGGGGGAAGCCUGAUGAAGAAACGCCGGGUGCGGGAUGACGGCCUUGGGGUUGUAAACCGCUUUCGCCUGUGACGAAGCGUGAGUGACGGUAAUGGGUGAAGAAGCACCGGCUAACUACGUG